AUAUAAGAAGUAAAAAAUUACGACAGGGAAAUGCUGCGCUAAAUAGGGAAAUAUUCUUAGGCAAAACAGGGAACUUUUGGCAACUUGCUGGCAGCACUGGCAUCUAUCAAAUUCUAGAGCUCAGUACUUGGUGCGCCUUUGUUGUGCUGAGACGAUUACCGCCUUUCGCUCUGACGGCCGCUAGGUGGCGUUGCCAUUUGAUAAGGAGUCCUUCCUCACUGCGCUUUGGCUGUUUGGGGCGCAGAGGGUUUUACACUGCUUAUUUUAGCACAUAAUUUUUGUGACCCGUUGGUGUCGCUAGCCACAGGCAAUACCUAGUGCGGUUGCCUGCGUCUCGUUCCUCUGCCUCAAACCCUGUUCGGGGUGGUGGUGUUCUUUGUGUUGGCGUGAUGGAGAGCGGGGCUCGACGACGCUCCCAUGCUUCUCCACGUGAUGGCCAGGCCCAGCUUCCUUCCAAGGUAGCUCGUCUUUCUUCGGACAGGGAGGAGAAUGGCCACUGUAACCCAUCGGUCCCUUCUACCGUCGUUCCGGGCCCUUCUGAGGCCCCUGACCCGGAGGAUCAGUUCUGCAAUUCGGUGGUGCAGAAAAUAUUACCGGCUUUAGUGCGAGCUCUGGGAAAAGGGCCGGUGGGGCAGAUGCCAGCUGAUAGCAGUGACAGUGAUAUAUCUGGCUACUGAAGAUUCCUAUAGCUACAGAAUGGGGGAUCGGACCAUGUCAAACAUCGUCAGUCAAGUAGCAACUGCUGUGUGGAACAACAUGAAACCUUUUUAUUUACCAGAACCCACAAUGGAAACAUGGGAGAAAGUGGCAUGUGAUUUUGAAAAAUAGUGGCACUUGCCACAUAGUGUGGGUGCAAUUGAUGGAAAACAUAUAUGCAUCCGAAAACCAUCAAACAGUGGGUCACCCUUCUUUAAUUAUAAGGAGACAUUUUCAGUUGUGUUGAUGGCCACUGUUGACUCAGAAUAUAGAUUCACUACAAUUAUAUAGUCCAUGGGCCGUUUUAGUGACGGACAUGUUUUUAGCAACUCUGCACUGGGAAAGAAAAUUGUAAGCAAAUCUUUGAACAUACCUAAACCAAAACCCAUUGAAGGUGUACAAGGAGAAUUGCCAUAUAUAUUUGUUGGAGAUGCUGCAUUUCCACUGCUAGAUAAUUUAUUGCUUCCAUAUCCUAAAUCAAAGACAAAGGAUAAUUUUGAGAAUAAAGUAUUUAAUUACAGACUGUCACGAACAAGGCAAACAGUUGAGUGUGCCCUUGGUAUAUUGGCUUCUCGAUUCAGGGUAUUCAUGCGGCCAUUUACUAUAAAGGUAGAUACAGUUGAUAACAUGAUAAAGGUGGCUUGUGUUCUUCACAAUUACUUGAGAAUACAUGUCAACAGAUGCGCAUGAGGAACUCGAAACAUUGCCUGAUAAUCAACUGAUUGCAUUAAACACAAAUGUAUCUAGAUGUAGUCUCUGCAUUUCAGCAACAGGAAGUCUGCCAUGGCAAACAGAGUGUGUUCGUCAAGGAAAAAAUUAAAAGAUGAGAGGAAGGAAUAACUGGAAAAAGGUAGUGAUAAUGAUGUGGACAAAAAAAAAAAACAUAGUAAGAACAUAAACAGUAGACAGGGUAAUAUUUUUGAUAAAUUUUGUUGUGUAAUACAAUAUGCAUCAGAUAUUAGUUUUCAUUGAAAAACCUGAUAAUUGCUAAUUACAAUAAAUGUACGUAUCAAGAGUGAUUUUCAUUAUAACACUGCCAGUCAGUUGUUCUCUCUCUCUCUCUCUCUCUCUCUCUCUCUCUCUCUCUCUCUCUCUCUC
Molecule: unclassified non-coding RNA, 1794 nt
Filed under: Portunus trituberculatus (swimming crab)
Lineage: Eukaryota; Metazoa; Arthropoda; Malacostraca; Decapoda; Portunidae
Description: uncharacterized LOC123518149, transcript variant X2
Source: RNAcentral